RNAcentral lists this ribosomal RNA (301 nucleotides) under uncultured bacterium. RNAcentral's name for it is "partial 16S ribosomal RNA". It matches the Rfam family "Bacterial small subunit ribosomal RNA", at positions 509 to 808 of the family's 1533-position model. The record is from RNAcentral.
CAGUAGCCGCGGGAAUACGUAGGUGGCAAGCGUUGUCCGGAAUUAUUGGGCGUAAAGCGCGCGCAGGCGGAUCGGUCAGUCUGUCUUAAAAGUUCGGGGCUUAACCCCGUGAUGGGAUGGAAACUGCCAAUCUAGAGUAUCGGAGAGGAAAGUGGAAUUCCUAGUGUAGCGGUGAAAUGCGUAGAUAUUAGGAAGAACACCAGUGGCGAAGGCGACUUUCUGGACGAAAACUGACGCUGAGGCGCGAAAGCCAGGGGAGCGAACGGGAUUAGAUACCCCAGUAGUCCCUGUCUCUUAUACC